GACCGCAUGCAUUCUCUGGCUUUUGUCGUUUUUCUUUUGGGUUUAUUGUUUUUGUUGUCCGCUUAGUUUCAUUUUAGACUUCCUUGUGCAUGGUUGUUGCCGUUGUUGCUGCGAUUUUUGUUCGGAUAUAAUUUUGUUUAAUUCGAUUCCUGUGCGUGGGGGUACGUGUAUUUUAAUUAAUAGUAAAAAUAUAACAUUCGUUGUCAUUAUCAAGCAUCAAGUCAAGUAACGGCAAAAUUACCGCAGUGUUAAAUAAACGCGUAACGUUUUCUAAAUUAUUUAACGCGCGACGAUCAGUUUGAUAUUGUGUGAGUGUGUGUGUGAUAUUCUUGAAAUUUAAGCAAAAUUCCAACGCUGCACGCUCGCUAAGUUCGCCGGCCUUAAAUCAUUGGCGUUUUUAACUUUGGAGGCUAAACGGCAACUGAAAUAACAAACAAU
This is a long non-coding RNA of Drosophila montana, 438 nucleotides long. RefSeq lists it as uncharacterized. The record is from RefSeq and is a predicted model, not a curated record. The transcript is spliced from 2 exons. Lineage: Eukaryota; Metazoa; Arthropoda; Insecta; Diptera; Drosophilidae.